UUCGCCCUUUUCCGGUUGAUCCUGCCGGACCUUACUGCUAUCGGGAUGAGAUUAAGCCAUGCAAGUUGUGCGCUCUUAAGCUAUGUUGAGAGCGCGGCGAACUGCUUCGUAACACGUAGUUAACCUAACCUCGAGAUGGGGAUAACCCCGGGAAACUGGGAUUAAUACCCGAUAGAUGAUUAUGCCUGGAAUGGCUUAUCAUCGAAAGAGUCUGGAAACAUGCUUCCAGCGUCGCUCGAGGAUGGGACUGCGUCCGAUCAGGUUGUUGGCGGGGUAACGGCCCACCAAGCCUAUAACCGGUACGGGCCCUGAGAGGGGGAGCCCGGAGAUGGAAACUGAGAAAAGGUUCCAGGCCCUACGGGGUGCAGCAGGCGCGAAACCUCCACAAUGCGCGAAAGCGUGAUGGGGUUAUCCCGAGUGCCGUCCGAUGAGGAUGGCUUUUCACCGGUGUAAGACUCCGAUGGAAUAAAGGGGGGGCAAGACUGGUGUCAGCCGCCGCGGUAAUACCAGCCCCCUGAGUGGUAAGGACGAUUAUUUGGCCUAAAGCGUCCGUAGCCGGCUUAUCAAGUCUUUUGUUAAAUCCAACGAUUCAAUCGUUGGGCUGCAAAAGAUACUGUUAUGCUAGAGGACGGGAGAGGUCGACGGUAGUCCAGGGGUAGGGGUGAAAUCCUAUAAUCCUUGGAGGACCACCAGUGGCGAAGGCGGUCGACUAGAAAGUGCCUGACGGUGAGGGACGAAAGCU
Molecule: ribosomal RNA, 742 nt
Filed under: uncultured archaeon
Lineage: Archaea
Description: bacterial SSU rRNA
Rfam family: Archaeal small subunit ribosomal RNA
Source: RNAcentral